RNAcentral lists this ribosomal RNA (468 nucleotides) under uncultured bacterium. Its description in RNAcentral is "partial 16S ribosomal RNA". It matches the Rfam family "Bacterial small subunit ribosomal RNA", at positions 28 to 507 of the family's 1533-position model. The record is from RNAcentral.
GACGAACGCUGGCGGCGUGCUUAACACAUGCAAGUCGAACGGAAAGGCCCUGCUUUUGUGGGGUGCUCGAUUGGCGAACGGGUGAGUAACACGUGAGUAACCUGCCCUUGACUUUGGGAUAACUUCAGGAAACUGGGGCUAAUACCGGAUAGGAUCUCCUGCUGCAUGGUGGGGGUUGGAAAGUUUCGGCGGUUGGGGAUGGACUCGCGGCUUAUCAGCUUGUUGGUGGGGUAGUGGCUUACCAAGGCUUUGACGGGUAGCCGGCCUGAGAGGGUGACCGGCCACAUUGGGACUGAGAUACGGCCCAGACUGCUACGGGAGGCAGCAGUGGGGAAUAUUGCACAAUGGGCGGAAGCCUGAUGCAGCAACGCCGCGUGCGGGAUGACGGCCUUCGGGUUGUAAACCGCUUUCGCCUGUGACGAAGCGUGAGUGACGGUAAUGGGUAAAGAAGCACCGGCUAACUACGUG